AGGCAUCUGUCUCAGAUUAGCCAUGCAUGUGUAAGUAUAAGCGAUUGUACUGUGAGACUGCGAACGGCUCAUUAUAUCAGUAAUAAUUUCUUCGGUAGUUUCUUUUAUAUGGAUACCUGCAGUAAUUCUGGAAAUAAUACAUGCUGUAAGAGCCCUGUAUGGGGCUGCACUUAUUAGAUUGAAGCCGAUUUUAUUGGUGAAUCAUGAUAAUUGAGCAGAUUGACUUUUUUGGUCAAUGAAUCGUUUGAUUUUCUGCCCCAUCAUUUGUCGACGGUAGGGUAUUGGACUACGGGGACUAUAACGGGGGACGGAAAGUUAGGGCUCGACUCCGGAAAGGGAGCCUGAAAAACGGCUACCAUAUCCAAGGAUAGCACCAGGGGCGUAAAUUACCCACUGGGGACUCCACAAGGUAUUGACAAAAAAUAUCGAUGCAAACCGGGUAUGCGUUUUGCUAUCGAAAUGAAAGCAAUGUAAAACCCUCAUCAAGGAUCAACUGGAGGGCAAGUCUGGGGCCAGCACCCCCGGUAAUUCCAGCUCCAGAACCAUAUGCUAAAGUGGUUGCAGUUAAAAAGCUCGUAGUUGAAUUUCUGGCAUGGGCGACGCGAUACGCUGACCCUGCAUGGCGUAUCGUAUUGAUCUGCAUGUUGACGUCGUAUGACCAUCUUUCUACUGCAUUUCAUGCUACGAAGAUCUUUCACUGUAAUCAAAGCAAAUGUUCAAGCAGGUCGUAUGAACGGUAUGUUUAUAUCGGAUGAUAAGAUGAGGACUUGGGUGCUAUUUGGUGGUUUGCACGCCUGAUAAUGUUAAUAGGACAGUUGGGGUAUCGUAUAAGGAGCUAGAGUGAAUUCUUGGAAUCCGAAGACCGACCUAACGGAGGCAUCACCAAGCAGUGUUCAUUAUCAAGACGAAAGUCGGGAUCGAAGAUGAUUGAUACCUGGAGUUAGCCCUAACGUACGAUGCGACUGCAUUGUAGUCUUGUUAAUGGGCUCAGCAGCAGCCCUGAGAAAUCAAAGUCUUUGGUUCCGGGGGAGUAUGUCACAAGCUGAAACUUAAAGAAUGACAGAAGGCACCCCCGGAGUGGAGCUGCAUGAUAAAUUGACUCAAUCGACGGAUGAAAACUUCCCCGUCCCGACAUAGGUAGGAUUACAGAUUGAGAGCUCUUUCAAGAAUUUUUGGGGGGGGGGGCAAGGCCCGUUUUUAUUGGGGGGGGGAAUUUUUUGGGUAAAUUCCUUAAAGAAAGGGACCCUGGCCUUAUAAAAAAGGGGGGGGAAGGGAACCUAAUUCGUUUUUAACUUUUUAGAGGGACAUUUCCGGUUUACGGGCAGGAAGUUGGAGGCAAUAACAGGUUUGGGAUGCCCUUAGAUGUUUUGGGCCCCCCCCCCGUUCCCCUGAUGGGUUCAUCGGGUUUUAAUUUUAAUUUUUGGAAUUGAGUGCUUGGUCGGAAGGCCUGGCUAAUCCUUGGAACGCUCAUCGUGCUGGGGCUAGAUUUUUGCAAUUAUUAAUCUCCAACGAGGAAUUCCUAGUAAACGCAAGUCAUCAGCUUGCAUUGAAUACGUCCCUGCCCUUUGUACACACCGCCCGUCGCACCUACCGAUUGAACGGUCCGAUGAAACCAUGGGAUGUUUCUGUUUGGAUUGAUUUUUGGACAGAGGCAGAACUCGGGUGAAUCUAUGUAGCGAACAU
RNAcentral lists this ribosomal RNA (1683 nucleotides) under Thraustochytriidae sp. Its description in RNAcentral is "Thraustochytriaceae sp. partial small subunit ribosomal RNA". It matches the Rfam family "Eukaryotic small subunit ribosomal RNA". The record is from RNAcentral. Lineage: Eukaryota; Bigyra; Thraustochytrida; Thraustochytriidae.